GGUUCACGUAGUGGGACGUGCCACGAGCGGGGCUAUCGACUACGCGAACCCGCUUGCGGUGUCGUUCGAUGAGUUCUACACCUUCGUGUAUCCC
This 94-nucleotide transfer RNA is filed under the name Coriobacteriaceae bacterium CHKCI002. Its description in RNAcentral is "tRNA-Asp". The record is from RNAcentral. Lineage: Bacteria; Bacillati; Actinomycetota; Coriobacteriia; Coriobacteriales; Coriobacteriaceae.